Long non-coding RNA from Salvia miltiorrhiza (redroot sage), 602 nucleotides. RefSeq lists it as uncharacterized. The record is from RefSeq and is a predicted model, not a curated record. NCBI's taxonomy places the organism in Eukaryota, Viridiplantae, Streptophyta, Magnoliopsida, Lamiales, Lamiaceae. The transcript has 3 exons.
ACGAAGAGUAUGGGUAGUUAGUCGUUAAAACGAGACGAAACGAGAUAUUUAACGACUAACGGGUUAAUAUCCUAAAUAUCUAAACCUACCCUACCCCAAACCACCCCCCAACCAACCAAACCCACCCACUCACAUUUAUUACACGGCUAUAUCAGCCAACUCACACAACAACAAACACAUUCACACACACAACACCUAAAACACACACACACUUCACGCCAUUUUCAUUUUAGCUUGAGCUCAAGCUUUUGACUUCCGAUUUGAGCACCGAGACGAGCGCCGAUCAUCUUUUCGAUCACGUAUCUAAGUAGGUCCUUUUGGGAAGUAACGACUUGAGGGAGAGAGUGACGUUACUCAUUGAUACAGAGACACAACGAGGUUGAGCUGAUGUGAUGAUGGUGCUGCAAUGAGCGGAGUCUCCAGGGUUGUUAAUAAAUAGUUAACCUGUCUAGAAUAUGUCUUCAUACAUAUGUCUAGCUACUUUCCGCUGCAAGAUGUUGAUGAUGUUAUAGUAUGUUAUGUCAUACUUUGAGUCUUAAGAGAAUGGUUUCAUACGAUGUAUAACUUGAUUAAUGAUAUUAAUUAAGUUUUAUGCUGUCUUU